Molecule: non-coding RNA, 45 nt
Filed under: Echinostoma caproni
Lineage: Eukaryota; Metazoa; Platyhelminthes; Trematoda; Plagiorchiida; Echinostomatidae
Source: RNAcentral
GCACUGCUGACGAGUCCUAUUCAGGACGAAACAGCUGUCCAGUGC